RNAcentral lists this ribosomal RNA (253 nucleotides) under uncultured bacterium. RNAcentral's name for it is "partial 16S ribosomal RNA". It matches the Rfam family "Bacterial small subunit ribosomal RNA", at positions 524 to 776 of the family's 1533-position model. The record is from RNAcentral.
UACAGAGGUCCCAAGCGUUGUUCGGAUUUACUGGGCGUAAAGGGUGCGUAGGCGGUUGAAUAAGUCUGGUGUGAAAGCUCAGAGCCUAACUCUGAAACGGCAUCGGAUACUGUUCAACUAGAGUUUGGGAGGGGAGACUGGAAUUCUCGGUGUAGCAGUGAAAUGCGUAGAUAUCGAGAGGAACACCAGUGGCGAAGGCGAGUCUCUAGACCAAUCCUGACGCUGAGGCACGAAAGCCAGGGGAGCAAACGGG